Non-coding RNA from Arvicanthis niloticus (Nile rat), 132 nucleotides. The record is from RefSeq and is a predicted model, not a curated record. NCBI's taxonomy places the organism in Eukaryota, Metazoa, Chordata, Mammalia, Rodentia, Muridae.
AUUGCCCCUAGAGGUGUUAGAGGUGUGGCUGCUGUGUCAUGUGUGUGUCAACAGGUAGAAGAGAGGAUAGAGGCUAUCUCUACACUCAAAAUUCUGACCCAUGGAUAUCUGAAUGAUUGGCAGCCUACCACU